GACGAACGCUGGCGGCGUGCUUAACACAUGCAAGUCGAACGAUGAAGUUCCUUCGGGAAUGGAUUAGUGGCGAACGGGUGAGAAACACGUGAGAAACCUGCCUUUCAUUUUGGGAUAACUCCGGGAAACCGGAGCUAACACCGAAUACUCCGUCUCGGCGGCAUCGCUGAGCCGGGAAAAAAUUAUGAUGAAAGAUGGUCUCGCGGCCUAUCAGCUAGUUGGUGGGGUAAUGGCUCACCAAGGCGAGGACGGGUAGCCGGCCUGAGAGGGCGGCCGGCCACACGGGGACUGAGCGACGGCCACGACUCCUACGGGAGGCAGCAGUGGGGAAUAUUGGGCAAUGGGCGCAAGCCUGACCCAGCGACGCCGCGUGAGGGAUGAAGGCCUUCGGGUUGUAAACCUCUUUCAGUAGGGAAGAAGCGAAAGUGACGGUACCUAAAGAAGAAGCACCGGCUAACUAUGUGCCAGCAGCCGCGGUAA
Molecule: ribosomal RNA, 480 nt
Filed under: uncultured bacterium
Lineage: Bacteria
Description: partial 16S ribosomal RNA
Rfam family: Bacterial small subunit ribosomal RNA
Source: RNAcentral